This 896-nucleotide long non-coding RNA is filed under the name Gopherus agassizii (Agassiz's desert tortoise). RNAcentral's name for it is "lncRNA (ENSGAGG00000011910.1)". The record is from RNAcentral. Lineage: Eukaryota; Metazoa; Chordata; Testudines; Testudinidae.
CUCGCCGCCGCUUCACGCUGGCGGUGUCCCCAGCGGGGGUAGCACUUGCUGCUGCUGCUGAGGAGGGGCCAGCCCGCGUUUCCCCCCCGCAAGCAGCGCACGGCGGGACUGAGCCCCUGCCCUGUCCUCAGCCCGCCCGGACCCGCAUGGCGUGCUACCUGGUCAUCAGCUCCAGGCAUCUCAGCAACGGGCACUACCGUGGCAUUAAAGGAGUCUUCAGGGGACCGCUCUGCAAGAAAGGCGCUCACUCCUCGAGUGUAAUAUACUGUGCGGCAGGACCGAGCCAAAGUGAGUUGAUAUUAUCCAGACAUUGAAGCAAUUUGUGUCUGUGAAUCAAAAUCAGCCUGGGCAGAAGCCAGUGGAAUUCAACGUGAACAAUCAAUUUAAAGCCAGUGGAAUUGUGCCUACUUGUGCCAUGGGUGAAUUUGGCCCUAAGUUGAUUAAUUGUAUUGUCAUAAUUAAAACUUCUGAUUCAUGAUGUUAAUAUUCUGAGCCUACAAAAUAUAUCUACUAUUUAUGUUAGUUUGUAAGAUCAAUGCCAUAUCUAUAGUGAAUCAGGAAAGUUAAGAGAGAAAUAUCAUUACUUGUGUUGAAGAAUUUUAGUUUGGCACAAUUUUUUUAAAUGCUGAUGUAGAACAUCUCUGUGUGUGGUUUGUACAAAUGUAUUCUGUUCUAUAGCUUGUUUGUGAAUUAAUUGUUAUGAGUAUUCCACUGAAAGAGAUAUUGAGGAUUUGUAGGUAGGGCCCUACCAAAUUCAUGGUCCAUUUUGGUCAAUUUCACAGUCAUAGGAUUUUAAAAAUUGUAAAUUUCAUAAUUUCAGCUAUUUAAAUGUAAAAUUUCACAGUGUUGUAAUUGUAGGGAUCCUGACUCAAAACAGCGUGUUGUGUGUGUGUGUG